GGGUUAAGGAGGGAAGAGUGCCUUAGGGGAAAGGAGGAGGCGGGGUUAAGGAGGGAAGAGUGCCUUAGGAGAAAGGAGGAGGUGGGGUUAAGGAGGGAAGAGUGCCUUAGGAGAAAGGAGGAGGCGGGGUUAAGGAGGGAAGAGUGCCUUAGGAGAAAGGAGGAGGUGGGGUUAAGGAGGGAAGAGUGCCUUAGGAGAAAGGAGGAGGUGGGGUUAAGGAGGGAAGAGUGCCUUAGGGGAAAGGAGGAGGUAGAAUUAAGGAGGGAAGAGUGCCUUAGGGGAAAGGAGGAGGCGGGGUUAAGGAGGGAAGAGUGCCUUAGGGGAAAGGAGGAGGCGGGGUUAAGGAGGGAAGAGUGCCUUAGGGGAA
Molecule: long non-coding RNA, 367 nt
Organism: Brienomyrus brachyistius
Lineage: Eukaryota; Metazoa; Chordata; Actinopteri; Osteoglossiformes; Mormyridae
Exons: 3
Source: RefSeq, a predicted model, not a curated record